UACAGAGGGGGCAAGCGUUGUUCGGAAUUACUGGGCGUAAAGGGCGCGUAGGCGGCCUGUUAAGUCGAACGUGAAAUCCCCGGGCUCAACCCGGGAACUGCGUCCGAUACUGGCAGGCUUGAAUUCGGGAGAGGGAUGUGGAAUUCCAGGUGUAGCGGUGAAAUGCGUAGAUAUCAGGAGGAACACCGGUGGCGAAGGCGGGUCUCUGGGCCGAAAUUGACGCUGAGGAGCGAAAGCGUGGGGAGCAAACAGG
RNAcentral lists this ribosomal RNA (253 nucleotides) under uncultured bacterium. Its description in RNAcentral is "partial 16S ribosomal RNA". It matches the Rfam family "Bacterial small subunit ribosomal RNA", at positions 524 to 776 of the family's 1533-position model. The record is from RNAcentral.